This is a long non-coding RNA of Photinus pyralis (common eastern firefly), 448 nucleotides long. RefSeq lists it as uncharacterized. The record is from RefSeq and is a predicted model, not a curated record. NCBI's taxonomy places the organism in Eukaryota, Metazoa, Arthropoda, Insecta, Coleoptera, Lampyridae. The transcript has 2 exons.
CCAUACCUUCAUAUUAAGGAAUCUACUAAAAAGUAGUCAGUACCACAAUAACAAUGUACGCAAAACUUCUACUUUUGAUUGUUACUCUCAUUUUACUCCUCGCAGGUAUAUGGUGCGAGGUGGAUGGGUGUUUUAACAGUUGCUUUCAAAGUUACCAAUUUGGCUCUGAGGACUUCCGCAAGUGCAACAGGAGCUGCGAACGUCAAUAAAUUAAUAAUGCGCAUUUUUUCAGCUUGUAAUUUUAUUACAAUAAAUAAUUAAGUACAACUAAUCGCGAUAUCAGGUACCAACGCUCAUUUUGGCCAGCUAUAAUUUUUACUGGUUGCUAUCUGCCACCCUUAUUCAAUUUGUAUAUGUGCAAAAUCACCUCAAACUUAAUUAUGGGUUAAAUGCACAAUUUUGUGUUUAUUAUGUGGUUCAUCCCUUUAAUAAAAUUAUUUGUGGCGAA